Molecule: long non-coding RNA, 898 nt
Filed under: Rattus norvegicus (Norway rat)
Lineage: Eukaryota; Metazoa; Chordata; Mammalia; Rodentia; Muridae
Description: long non-coding RNA NONRATT028048
Source: RNAcentral
CAGUGUGUGCUGGCCUGCACAGACCGAGGAGCAGAGAUCAAACAGGCGGCUGUAAGGACAGACAGUAAACGGAGGACGAGCUGGCCUCUGGAUCCCGCUGCCUCCCCUUUCUCCCUGCUGCCUGUGUCCGGAGGAUGAGCCCAGCCUUCAGGACCAUGGACGUAGAGCCCCGUACCAAGGGCAUCCUGCUGGAGCCCUUUGUCCACCAGGUUGGGGGGCACUCAUGCGUUCUCCGGUUCAAUGAGACAACCCUGUGCAAGCCCCUGGUUCCGAGGGAGCAUCAGUUCUACGAGACCCUCCCAGCUGAGAUGCGCAGAUUCACUCCCCAGUACAAAGGUGAGCCCCCGGCUGCUAGAGGGGUCGCCAGGCUGGUGAGAUGUAAGGGAUUUUGCCAGUGGAAGGCCCUGGCAGCGUCCUGGGAGCCCUCCCUCUUCCCAUUUACCCUUUUGUUUUCCUCCUCCUCCUCUUGGCCCUCAGCCCAGCACCUCACCCUCAGUUUUCAAGCCCUGGUAAGAUUGCUCAAUUGUUUUGUUUUCUGGGUUUGCUUUGAGAUUGUUUUUGGUAGAAGUAUAGUUAUUUUUUAUGUUCAGGUGUCUCUUGCUCAAGGUAACCCAUAACCCCAUAUGGGGCAGUUCGGGAAGACUUUAGGAGGAUUGUACACAGAAUUCUUGCUGCCUGCUUUUUGUCCUCCAGAAAACCAGAAGCCCUGGAGAUUAGGUAGGCUGGGAGCAGGGUUGAGGCAGAUGGAACGCAGGAGUGGGAGGAUUGUACAAGCAACUCAAGCCUUUUGCUGUUACGGAAUGUCCCCAAAACUGCUGUGAGAAGGCAACGCUUUGAUUCACAUGUAGUGACUUUUUCUCGUUUUAUAAUUGUACUCUGAAGAAACAUCAGCCACCAG